GCUCAAAUUUGAAAUCUGGCACCUUCGGUGUCCGAGUUGUAAUUUGAAGAAGGUAACUUUGGAGUUGGCUCUUGUCUAUGUUCCUUGGAACAGGACGUCACAGAGGGUGAGAAUCCCGUGCGAUGAGAUGUCCAACUCUAUGUAAAGUGCUUUCGAAGAGUCGAGUUGUUUGGGAAUGCAGCUCUAAGUGGGUGGUAAAUUCCAUCUAAAGCUAAAUAUUGGCGAGAGACCGAUAGCGAACAAGUACAGUGAUGGAAAGAUGAAAAGAACUUUGAAAAGAGAGUGAAAAAGUACGUGAAAUUGUUGAAAGGGAAGGGUUUGAGAUCAGACUUGGUAUUUUGUAUGUCUUGCUUUCGGGUGGGGCCUCUGCAGUUUACUGGGCCAGCAUCGGUUUGGACGGUAGGAUAAUGACAUUGGAAUGUGGCACUACUUCGGUGGUGUGUUAUAGACUUUGUUGAUACUGCCUGUCUAGACCGAGGACUGCGUCUUUGACUAGGAUGCUGGCAUAAUGAUCCUAAACCGCC
RNAcentral lists this ribosomal RNA (524 nucleotides) under Scheffersomyces shehatae. RNAcentral's name for it is "eukaryotic LSU rRNA". It matches the Rfam family "Eukaryotic large subunit ribosomal RNA", at positions 107 to 649 of the family's 3401-position model. The record is from RNAcentral. Lineage: Eukaryota; Fungi; Ascomycota; Pichiomycetes; Serinales; Debaryomycetaceae.